Molecule: transfer RNA, 88 nt
Filed under: Myxococcales bacterium
Lineage: Bacteria; Pseudomonadati; Myxococcota; Myxococcia; Myxococcales
Also listed under: 1 other name
Description: tRNA-Ser
Rfam family: tRNA
About the family: Transfer RNA (tRNA) molecules are approximately 80 nucleotides in length. Their secondary structure includes four short double-helical elements and three loops (D, anti-codon, and T loops).
Source: RNAcentral
GGAGAGGUGUCCGAGUGGCUGAAGGUGCAGCAUUGGAAAUGCUGUGUAGGGCAACCUACCGCGGGUUCGAAUCCCGCCCUCUCCGCCA